This 482-nucleotide ribosomal RNA is filed under the name uncultured bacterium. RNAcentral's name for it is "bacterial SSU rRNA". It matches the Rfam family "Bacterial small subunit ribosomal RNA", at positions 28 to 507 of the family's 1533-position model. The record is from RNAcentral.
GAUUAACGCUGGCGGCAUGCCUAAUACAUGCAAGUCGAACGAGGUCACUUGUGACCUAGUGGCGAACGGGUGAGUAACACGUAGGGAACCUGCCUCAAAGUCGAGGAUAACUAUUGGAAACGAUAGCUAAGACUGGAUAGUAUACCAGAAGGCAUCUUUUGGUAUUUAAAGGUCCGUUUGGAACGCUUUGAGAUGGCCCUGCGGCGCAUUAGCUAGUUGGUAAGGUAAUGGCUUACCAAGGCGACGAUGCGUAGCCGAACUGAGAGGUUGAUCGGCCACAUUGGGACUGAGACACGGCCCAAACUCCUACGGGAGACAGCAGUUAGGAAUAUUCGUCAAUGGGGGAAACCCUGAACGAGCAAUGCCGCGUGAACGAUGACGGUCCUUUGGAUUGUAAAGUUCUGUUGUUGAGGAAGAAAUGUUAGUAUAGGAAAUGAUAUAACUUGACGGUACUCUUCAAGAAAGCUCCGGCUAACUACGUG